UCGAGGCAAAAAAUACGGUCUGUUUGUAUCAAAGAUUCAACUGAAAAAUUCAGCACGAGUCGUGCACGAGCUAACUCACGAAUAAUAAGUUAAAAAAAAUUAAAAAUAAUAUAUAUAGAAAAUAAAUUUAUGGGAUCUUACCUAUUAGAUUUUGAUUUAAUAGUUGAAAUUUUAUAUAUAAAUAAAUUUUUUUAUAAUUGAGUUGGACUUGAUAUUUAGGUGGGACUAAAAAUUAAAUAAUAAAAAUCUGUAUUUAUAUAUGUAAUUAUUUAUUUAUAUAUUUAAUUAUAAAAUAUAUAAAUUAUAUAAAUAUAAAAUAUAUGUAUUCCAACUGUUAUCUGCACAAACAUGAAUUCAGCUCGUGUUCGGCUUGUUUAUCAAACAAGUUGAAAAUUUCAACUUGUGUUCGACUCGUUUACUAAGCAAGCGAUUUGAUUUCAAACUCAUUUCAAGCCAAAUAUGAGCUGACUCGUGAACAGCGGCUCGAUUGCCCCCUCUUAUUUUAGAGUUAGUGUCGACUUAGAUUGACAUUUUUUUUAUUUUUAAAAGUAAUAAUUAGAGUAUUUGAAUUGAUGAUUCAUAUAGUUCGAAAAUGCUCAUGAACACCGAAAAAAUUACUAUAAAACAAAUUUUAUGUUCCUUUUUAUCGAAUGCAUCAAGCGAUCUCGAAGUUUGAUGUUAAAUAUUUAACGGCUAUAUGUACGUUUCAAAUAAGUUGAGAAUUUUAUUAAAAAAUAGUAUUAGAUGUGUAAAUUUAGAGCAGCAGUUUUACUUUUCAAUAGAGGAAUUGUACCGUUUGGUUCGGGUAUAAACAAGAAUUAGCUAUUACAGGGAUAGGUACAAGUAUGGGGAUAAGAAAAAUAGUGUUUGGAUGAAAAUUGGGUUGUUUCCGAGGAUAAGAACAAUUUUAGACAGUUUUAUACAGAAAAUGGAGGUGUUGGUGGGAAUAAUCGAGAACUACUAUUCUCGGAUAAAAUAUUAGCGUUUGGAUAUAAAGGGAGGGAUAAGGGCUUAUUCCUAUCUCUAUCCUCUAACCAAACGCAAGUAUAAUUCAACUUUGAUGCAUAG
Molecule: long non-coding RNA, 1068 nt
Filed under: Ananas comosus (pineapple)
Lineage: Eukaryota; Viridiplantae; Streptophyta; Magnoliopsida; Poales; Bromeliaceae
Description: long non-coding RNA (ACOM_LNC027146)
Source: RNAcentral